CCCGUUUCUGAUUCAGUAGGUGUGGGGUUUUCCUUUUUCUAGAUUCUCUGAUGCUGCCGACCCUGAGGCACUUCUUGAGAACCUCUGGGCUGGAGGAAAUUAAGCCCUGGGGCUAGGGAAAACGAGGCCAAGAUAACUAUAAGAGGAAUUCAGUUUACAGUUAAACUUUGAGGCAAGGAAAAUUGACCUCACCUUCUUUCGGGGAGAUUGAAGCUGCAGUCACAAGAACAGUGACUCAGCCCGAGACCUUUGUCUCAGCUCGACAGCCCUCGAGAGGCGGGAGUGCAGAUAGGUCCAGCAGCCAAGAUGGGGCGAGUUACGCUAACUGUCUCAAGCCAUUGGCGCGAACACUGCACAAAGGAUGAAAUUUGCAAGGGUAAGCAUAUACUUGACCCAGAUAUAGUACCUUGAUGUAAGUGGGAUGGACUCUGACUGAUAAUGUGAGUGCCAAGAGUGGAGAAUGUGGGAUUUAGUGGGGAAAUCACAUACUAUUUACACCAAAGCAGGAUUCUGGACUAUUAAGAGAGUUACCUAUGAUUUUAAAAAAGAGUGAGAGGACAGGGAAAAGAACCUAUAUACUGAUCUACAGUCUAGGGGGAUGUAGUUUUGUUUGUUUUCAUGGAUGACAGAUAAAACUUAGAUCACUCUGUAUCGGGAAAGAUGCAUUGAAUAGUUCAAUUGUAAUUGUUGGGAUUGUGCAACCUGAAGCAGAGUAACAUGUAGAAGUCACCUUUAAAAAUAACCUUGGGCAAUUGACCAGGUUGAUCUUCAACUCCUGACCUCAAGGGAUCCUCCUGCCUUGGCCUCCCAAAGUGCAGGGAGUGCCUGGUUUACUGUCUAUAUUAACAUGAGUUUACUAUUCCACUAUU
Molecule: long non-coding RNA, 869 nt
Organism: Callithrix jacchus (white-tufted-ear marmoset)
Lineage: Eukaryota; Metazoa; Chordata; Mammalia; Primates; Cebidae
Source: RefSeq, a predicted model, not a curated record